RNAcentral lists this ribosomal RNA (895 nucleotides) under Rhizopus arrhizus. RNAcentral describes it as "eukaryotic LSU rRNA". It matches the Rfam family "Eukaryotic large subunit ribosomal RNA", at positions 85 to 912 of the family's 3401-position model. Lineage: Eukaryota; Fungi; Mucoromycota; Mucoromycetes; Mucorales; Rhizopodaceae. The record is from RNAcentral.
AACGGCGAGUGAAGAGGAAAGAGCUCAAAGUUGGAACCUGUUUGGCCUAGCUAAACCGGAUUGUAGACUGUAGAAGUGUUUUCCAGGCAAGCCGAGUAAAUAAGUCCUUUGGAACAGGGCAUCAUAGAGGGUGAGAAUCCCGUCUUUGGCUUGAGCAUUUGCCUUUUGUGAUACGCUUUCAAAGAGUCAGGUUGUUUGGGAAUGCAGCCUAAAUUGGGUGGUAAAUCUCACCUAAAGCUAAAUAUUGGCGAGAAACCGAUAGCGAACAAGUACCGUGAGGGAAAGAUGAAAAGAACUUUGAAAAGAGAGUUAAACAGUAUGUGAAAUUGUUAAAAGGGAACCGUUUGGAGCCAGACUGGCUUGUCUGUAAUCAAUCUAGGCUUCGGCCUGGAUGCACUUGCAGGCUAUGCCUGCCAACGACAAUUUGACUUGAGGGAAAAAACUAGGGGAAAUGUGGCCCACUUGUGGGUGUUAUAGUCCCUUAGAAAAUACCUUGGGUUGGAUUGAGGAACGCAGCGAAUGCUUAUUGGCGAGUUUUCCAGGAAGGUUUUCUGAGGUACUACGGUAUCAAGGUUGAUCUUUUUGGUUAUACUUCUAUUCGCUUAGGUUGUUGGCUUAAUGACUCUAAAUGACCCGUCUUGAAACACGGACCAAGGAGUCCACCAUUAGUGCGAGUAUUUGGGUGCCAAACCCAUAUGCGUAAGGAAACUGAUUGAUACGAAUCCAUUAAGGAGGCAGUAUCGUCCGGCGCUGACGUUUUAUACUGAAUUGACCGAGACAAAGCACUAAUGAUGGGACCCGAAAGAUGGUGAACUAUGCCUGAAUAGGGUGAAGCCAGAGGAAACUCUGGUGGAGGCUCGUACCGAUUCUGACGUGCAAAUCGAUCGUCAAAUUU